AAAAGGGAAUCCGGUGCCGCGCCCCGCGCGCUCAACCCGGAGCUGCCCCCGCAACUGUAAUCGGCGAGUCCUGCGCCCUCUCUGCCACUGGAAUCUUUCCGGGAAGGCUGGCGCAAGGCGAUGACCCGUGAGCCAGGAGACCUGCCAUGCACAUCACCUUCAA
Molecule: non-coding RNA, 163 nt
Filed under: Thauera sp. 27
Lineage: Bacteria; Pseudomonadati; Pseudomonadota; Betaproteobacteria; Rhodocyclales; Zoogloeaceae
Also listed under: 1 other name
Source: RNAcentral